Molecule: ribosomal RNA, 487 nt
Filed under: uncultured bacterium
Lineage: Bacteria
Description: partial 16S ribosomal RNA
Rfam family: Bacterial small subunit ribosomal RNA
Source: RNAcentral
GAUGAACGCUAGCGAUAGGCUUAACACAUGCAAGUCGAGGGGCAGCACAAGGUAGCUUGCUAUCUGGGUGGCGACCGGCGCACGGGUGCGUAACGCGUAUGCAACUUGCCCUAUACAGGAGGAUAACCCGUCGAAAGACGGACUAAUACUGCGUAUGCUCACAACUUGGCAUCAAGUGGUGAGGAAAGAAAUUCGGUAUAGGAUAGGCAUGCGUCCCAUUAGCUUGUUGGUGAGGUAACGGCUCACCAAGGCAACGAUGGGUAGGGGAACUGAGAGGUUUAUCCCCCACGCUGGUACUGAGACACGGACCAGACGCCUACGGGAGGCAGCAGUGAGGAAGAUUGGUCAAUGGGCGCGAGCCUGAACCAGCCAAGUCGCGUGAAGGAUGACUGUCUUAUGGAUUGUAAACUUCUUUUAGACGGGAAUAACAAGAGUCACGGGUGACUCCCUGCAUGUACCGUAUGAAUAAGCAUCGGCUAACUCCGUG